This 301-nucleotide ribosomal RNA is filed under the name uncultured bacterium. RNAcentral's name for it is "partial 16S ribosomal RNA". It matches the Rfam family "Bacterial small subunit ribosomal RNA", at positions 509 to 807 of the family's 1533-position model. The record is from RNAcentral.
CAGCCGCCGCGGUAAUCCGAAGGGUGCAAGCGUUAAUCGGAAUUACUGGGCGUAAAGCGUGCGUAGGCGGUGAGUUAAGUCUGUUGUGAAAUCCCCGGGCUCAACCUGGGAAUGGCAAUGGAUACUGGCAAGCUAGAGUGUGUCAGAGGAUGGUGGAAUUCCCGGUGUAGCGGUGAAAUGCGUAGAGAUCGGGAGGAACAUCAGUGGCGAAGGCGGCCAUCUGGGACAACACUGACGCUGAGGCACGAAAGCGUGGGGAGCAAACUGGAUUAGAUACCCCUGUAGUCCCUGUUUCUUAUAC